GAUGAAACGCUAGCUACAGGCUUAACACAUGCAAGUCGAGGGGAAACGGCAUCAAGCGCUUGCGCUGAUGGACGUCGACCGGCGCACGGGUGAGUACGCGUAUCCAACCUGCCCCACACUAAGGGAUAACCCGCAGAAAUGUGGACUAAUACCUUAUAUUUUCCACCAAAGGGCAUCGUCGAUGGAACAAAGAUUUUAUCGGUAUGGGAUGGGGAUGCGUCCGAUUAGGUUGUUGGCGGGGUAACGGCCCACCAAGCCUUCGAUCGGUAGGGGUUCUGAGAGGAAGGUCCCCACAUAGGAACUGAGACACGGUCCUAACUCCUACGGGAGGCAGCAGUGAGGAAUAUUGGUCAAUGGGCGUGAGCCUGAACCAGCCAAGUAGCGUGCAGGAAGACGGCCCUAUGGGUUGUAAACUGCUUUUAUGCGGGGAUAAAGGAGUCCACGUGUGGAUUUUUGCAGGUACCGCAUGAAUAAAGACCGGCUAAUUCCGUGCCAGCAGCCGCGGUAAAU
This 510-nucleotide ribosomal RNA is filed under the name uncultured Prevotella sp. RNAcentral describes it as "bacterial SSU rRNA". It matches the Rfam family "Bacterial small subunit ribosomal RNA", at positions 27 to 525 of the family's 1533-position model. Lineage: Bacteria; Pseudomonadati; Bacteroidota; Bacteroidia; Bacteroidales; Prevotellaceae. The record is from RNAcentral.